Molecule: ribosomal RNA, 583 nt
Filed under: Hysterangium sp. T26347
Lineage: Eukaryota; Fungi; Basidiomycota; Agaricomycetes; Hysterangiales; Hysterangiaceae
Description: eukaryotic LSU rRNA
Rfam family: Eukaryotic large subunit ribosomal RNA
Source: RNAcentral
UCAAUAAGCGGAGGAAAAGAAACUAACAAGGAUUCCCCUAGUAACGGCGAGUGAAGCGGGAAGAGCUCAAAUUUGUAAUCUGGCGGUCUCAGGCCGUCCGAGUUGUAGUCUGGAGAAGCGUUUUCCGUGCCGGACCGUGUACAAGUCCCUUGGAACAGGGCGUCGUAGAGGGUGAGAAUCCCGUCUCUGACACGGACCGCCGGUGCCAUGUGAUGCGCUCUCGAAGAGUCGAGUUGUUUGGGAAUGCAGCUCAAAAUGGGUGGUAAAUUCCAUCUAAAGCUAAAUAUUGGCGAAAGACCGAUAGCGAACAAGUACCGUGAGGGAAAGAUGAAAAGCACUUUGGAAAGAGAGUUAAACAGUACGUGAAAUUGUUGAAAGGGAAACGCUUGAAGUCAGUCGCGUCUUCCGAGACUCAACCGGGUGUCUUCACCCGGCGCACUUCUCGGUGUGACGGGCCAGCAUCGAUUUCGACCGUCGGAGAAAGGCUCGGGGAACGUGGCACCUCCGGGUGUGUUAUAGCCCCCUGUCGUAUGCGAGGGUCGGGAUCGAGGACCGCAGCACGCCCUUCACCGGCCGGGUUCGC